GAUGAACGCUGGCGGCGUGCCUAAUACAUGCAAGUCGAGCGAACGGACGAGAAGCUUGCUUUUCUUAUGUUAGCGGCUGACGGGUGAGUAACACGUGUAUAACCUACCUAUAAUACUUGUAUAACUUCGGGAAACCGGAGCUAAUACCGGAUAAUAUUUUGAACCGCAUUGUUCAAUAGUGAAAGACGGUCUUGCUGUCACUUAUAGAUUGAUCCGCGCUGCAUUAGAUAGUUGGUAAGGUAACGGCUUACCAAGGCAACGAUGCAUAGCCGACCUGAGAGGGUGAUAGGACAAACGGGAAGUGAGACAGGGAAAAGAGACCUAAGGGAGGCAGCAGUAGGGAAGAUGACGAAAUGGGCGAAAGCCUGACGGAGCAAAGGCGAGUGAGUGAUGAAGGUCUUAGGAUGGUAAAACUCUGUUAUGAGGGAAGAAAAAAUGUGUAAGUAACUGUGAACAUAGUGACGGUAACUAAUAAGAAAGCAACGGCUAACUACGUG
This 497-nucleotide ribosomal RNA is filed under the name uncultured bacterium. RNAcentral's name for it is "partial 16S ribosomal RNA". It matches the Rfam family "Bacterial small subunit ribosomal RNA", at positions 28 to 507 of the family's 1533-position model. The record is from RNAcentral.